RNAcentral lists this ribosomal RNA (385 nucleotides) under uncultured bacterium. Its description in RNAcentral is "bacterial SSU rRNA". It matches the Rfam family "Bacterial small subunit ribosomal RNA", at positions 30 to 416 of the family's 1533-position model. The record is from RNAcentral.
AUUGAACGCUGGCGGCAUGCCUUACACAUGCAAGUCGAACGGCAGCACGGGAGCAAUCCUGGUGGCGAGUGGCGAACGGGUGAGUAAUAUAUCGGAACGUGCCCAGUCGUGGGGGAUAACGUAGCGAAAGCUACGCUAAUACCGCAUACGAUCUAUGGAUGAAAGCGGGGGAUCGCAAGACCUCGCGCGAUUGGAGCGGCCGAUAUCAGAUUAGGUAGUUGGUGAGGUAAAGGCUCACCAAGCCGACGAUCUGUAGCUGGUCUGAGAGGACGACCAGCCACACUGGGACUGAGACACGGCCCAGACUCCUACGGGAGGCAGCAGUGGGGAAUUUUGGACAAUGGCGCAAGCCUGAUCCAGCAAUGCCGCGUGCAGGAUGAAGGCC